This 254-nucleotide unclassified non-coding RNA is filed under the name uncultured bacterium. Its description in RNAcentral is "contains 16S-23S intergenic spacer region". It matches the Rfam family "Bacterial small subunit ribosomal RNA", at positions 524 to 776 of the family's 1533-position model. The record is from RNAcentral.
GACAGACAGUGCGGGCGUUAUUCGGCUUGACUGGGCGUAAAGGGUAUGUAGGUGGCUUAAAUAACUAUAUCCGAAAAGCUAGAGGAUAACUGUAGAAAGGGAUAUAUAGAUUUUUGGGCUACGAGUUAAGUAGGGGUGAGAAGAACUUCUAGUGUAAGGGUAAAAUCUAACAAGAUUAGAAGGACUGUCAAGGGCGAAAGCAUCUCUCCAGACUUAACUGACGCUGAGGUACGGAGGCAUGGGGAGCAAACAGG